RNAcentral lists this ribosomal RNA (406 nucleotides) under uncultured bacterium. RNAcentral's name for it is "partial 16S ribosomal RNA". It matches the Rfam family "Bacterial small subunit ribosomal RNA", at positions 30 to 526 of the family's 1533-position model. The record is from RNAcentral.
AUUGAACGCUGGCGGCAGGCCUAAUACAUGCAAGUCGGGCGAACAGCGGACGGGUGAGUGAUGUAUGGAGACAUGGCUGACGGAGGGGGAAAAGGACUGGAAACGGUAGCAACUCCCGCAUAACAUCCGUUGAACCCAGAUGGAAUUAGCUUGUCGGUAAGGUAAAGGCUUACCUAGGCGACGAUCCCUAGCUGUUCUGAGAGGAUGAUCAGCCACACUGGGACUGAGACACGGCCCAGACUCCUACGGGAGGCAGCAGUGGGGAAUAUUGCACAAUGGGCGCAAGCCUGAUGCAGCCAUGCCGCGUGUAUGAAGAAGGCCUUCGGGUUGUAAAGUACUUUCAGUCGGGAGGCGUUACCGACAGAAUAAGCACCGGCUAACUCCGUGCCAGCAGCCGCGGUAAUUC